AGCGAACGCUGGCGGCGUGCCUAACACAUGCAAGUCGAACGUGAAAGGGAGCAAUCCCAAGUAAAGUGGCGUGCGGGUGAGUAACACGUAGGUAAUCUACCCCAGAAUCUGGAAUAACCGGCCGAAAGGCUGGCUAAUAUUGGCUAGAGCGACGGAAUCCGUAAUUGGGUUUUUAGGGAAAGGGAGCCUGUAAAAAGGCCUUAGUUCUGGGAUGAGCCUGCGUCCGAUCAGCUAGUUGGUGAGGUAAAAGCUUACCAAGGCAAUGACGGGUAGCUGGUCUGAAAGGACGAUCAGCCACACUGGAACUGAAACACGGUCCAGGCUCCUACGGGAGGCAGCAGUGGGGAAUCUUGCGCAAUUGACGAAAGUCUGACGCAGCAACGCCGCGUGAGUGAAGAAGGCCUUCGGGGUGUAAAGCUCUGUCGAGUGGGACAGAAAUGCUUGGAGUUCACAGCUCCAGGAACUGACGGUACCACUAAAGGAAGCACCGGCUAACUCCGUG
RNAcentral lists this ribosomal RNA (502 nucleotides) under uncultured bacterium. RNAcentral describes it as "partial 16S ribosomal RNA". It matches the Rfam family "Bacterial small subunit ribosomal RNA", at positions 29 to 507 of the family's 1533-position model. The record is from RNAcentral.